GCGUCAGUAGCUCAACGGGUUAGAGCACGCGCUCCCGCAUAGAGGUGGGACGCGGGUUCGAGUCCCGCCUGAUGCG
Molecule: non-coding RNA, 76 nt
Organism: Parelaphostrongylus tenuis
Lineage: Eukaryota; Metazoa; Nematoda; Chromadorea; Rhabditida; Metastrongylidae
Source: the annotation of a GenBank genome assembly